Molecule: ribosomal RNA, 558 nt
Filed under: Bipolaris cynodontis
Lineage: Eukaryota; Fungi; Ascomycota; Dothideomycetes; Pleosporales; Pleosporaceae
Description: eukaryotic LSU rRNA
Rfam family: 5.8S ribosomal RNA (bases 171-324)
Source: RNAcentral
GUGCUCGUCAAGUAUGAGGCCUGGCUUCGCGGCCGGCUGAAUAUUUUUUCACCCAUGUCUUUUGCGCACUUGUUGUUUCCUGGGCGGGUUCGCCCGCCACCAGGACCAAACCAUAAACCUUUUUCUUAUGCAGUUUCCAUCAGCGUCAGUAAAAACAAUGUAAUAAUUACAACUUUCAACAACGGAUCUCUUGGUUCUGGCAUCGAUGAAGAACGCAGCGAAAUGCGAUACGUAGUGUGAAUUGCAGAAUUCAGUGAAUCAUCGAAUCUUUGAACGCACAUUGCGCCCUUUGGUAUUCCAAAGGGCAUGCCUGUUCGAGCGUCAUUUGUACCUUCAAGCUUUGCUUGGUGUUGGGCGUUUUUGUCUCCCUCUUUCUGGGAGACUCGCCUUAAAACGAUUGGCAGCCGGCCUACUGGUUUCGGAGCGCAGCACAUUUUUUGCGCUUUGUAUCAGGAGAAAAGGACGGUACUCCAUCAAGACUUUUACAAUUUUAACUUUUGACCUCGGAUCAGGUAGGGAUACCCGCUGAACUUAAGCAUAUCAAAAGGGGGGAGGAAA